This 634-nucleotide ribosomal RNA is filed under the name uncultured beta proteobacterium. RNAcentral describes it as "bacterial SSU rRNA". It matches the Rfam family "Bacterial small subunit ribosomal RNA", at positions 91 to 721 of the family's 1533-position model. Lineage: Bacteria; Pseudomonadati; Pseudomonadota; Betaproteobacteria. The record is from RNAcentral.
GCGAGUGGCGAACGGGUGAGUAAUACAUCGGAACAUGUCCUGUAGUGGGGGAUAGCCCGGCGAAAGCCGGAUUAAUACCGCAUACGAUCUACGGAUGAAAGCGGGGGACCUUCGGGCCUCGCGCUAUAGGGUUGGCCGAUGGCUGAUUAGCUAGUUGGUGGGGUAAAGGCCUACCAAGGCGACGAUCAGUAGCUGGUCUGAGAGGACGACCAGCCACACUGGGACUGAGACACGGCCCAGACUCCUACGGGAGGCAGCAGUGGGGAAUUUUGGACAAUGGGCGAAAGCCUGAUCCAGCAAUGCCGCGUGUGUGAAGAAGGCCUUCGGGUUGUAAAGCACUUUUGUCCGGAAAGAAAUCCUUGGUUCUAAUAUAGCCGGGGGAUGACGGUACCGGAAGAAUAAGCACCGGCUAACUACGUGCCAGCAGCCGCGGUAAUACGUAGGGUGCGAGCGUUAAUCGGAAUUACUGGGCGUAAAGCGUGCGCAGGCGGUUUGCUAAGACCGAUGUGAAACCCCCGGGCUCAACCUGGGAACUGCAUUGGUGACUGGCAGGCUAGAGUAUGGCAGAGGGGGGUAGAAUUCCACGUGUAGCAGUGAAAUGCGUAGAGAUGUGGAGGAAUACCGAUGGCGAAGG